Molecule: ribosomal RNA, 480 nt
Filed under: Stenotrophomonas sp. D1
Lineage: Bacteria; Pseudomonadati; Pseudomonadota; Gammaproteobacteria; Lysobacterales; Lysobacteraceae
Description: bacterial SSU rRNA
Rfam family: Bacterial small subunit ribosomal RNA
Source: RNAcentral
CCAGGCUCAGGCUGGAUCACCUCCUUAGAGUUUGGAAUCCUGGCUCAGAGUGAACGCUGGCGGUAGGCCUAACACAUGCAAGUCGAACGGCAGCACAGAGGAGCUUGCUCCUUGGGUGGCGAGUGGCGGACGGGUGAGGAAUACAUCGGAAUCUACUUUUUCGUGGGGGAUAACGUAGGGAAACUUACGCUAAUACCGCAUACGACCUACGGGUGAAAGCAGGGGAUCUUCGGACCUUGCGCGAUUGAAUGAGCCGAUGUCGGAUUAGCUAGUUGGCGGGGUAAAGGCCCACCAAGGCGACGAUCCGUAGCUGGUCUGAGAGGAUGAUCAGCCACACUGGAACUGAGACACGGUCCAGACUCCUACGGGAGGCAGCAGUGGGGAAUAUUGGACAAUGGGCGCAAGCCUGAUCCAGCCAUACCGCGUGGGUGAAGAAGGCCUUCGGGUUGUAAAGCCCUUUUGUGGGAAAGAAAUCCAGCC